This is a non-coding RNA of Biomphalaria pfeifferi, 251 nucleotides long. The record is from the annotation of a GenBank genome assembly. Lineage: Eukaryota; Metazoa; Mollusca; Gastropoda; Planorbidae.
UGUUUCAGCCUCGCUAAGUGGUCGAGAGCGGGUUUUAUAAUUGAUUUUUGUUUGGUGAUAUGAUCUCUGUAUGCAACCAUGGCCACGACCACUCAUCCACAUUCAAACUGUUUUUUUAAACAAAUUCUUCAAACAUCAUUUUCUAUUUUGACCAAUGUCUUACUCAUUAUUAGCAUAUGUUUAAAAUAUGUGCGUAACUGCAACAGCUAGCUUAAGGUCUAUUGAAAGUAUGCCUUUUUUUUUUAUUUUUU